AUGUCAACCUUGGCCCCCGGGAAGGAUGUGGAAAUUGAAGAAAGGUUUGUGCUACUGGAGCUUGGACCCAAUGAGCAAACAGGAAAAUCCAAGAAAGACUUUGUUGUUGGGAUGUGGAGAUGGCAACUAUUGGUGCUCCGAUCUGGAAAGGAAACUUUGGUGACGCUUUCACCAUUACAUAUUUUGAACGAAGUUGUUUUUUCUGUCUCCCUAAAACUUACAUAUUUUCCUCAAGGUCGACCGGUCGUACUUCAUAAUCUCAAAGAAGUUGAUGUACCUCUCAAGCAUCCUUAUACAUGGACAGUGAUGGGUGGAUGUGAAUCUAGAUGCUUGGUUGAGAUCAAGUUUGGUGUCAACUAUAAAGCGUAUGGCAGAACACACUAUAUUUUGCGCCCUAGACGAAUGAGCACGACGUCAGUGGAGCAAGCCCAGUCUAGUGUCGCGCGCAUGCUGAGAGAAGACAUCCUCACUGACAUCACCAUCAACGCCGUCGGUGGCAGCAUCAGGGCCCACCGCGCCGUCCUGGCCGCGCGGUCGCCGGUGUUCAUGAGCAUGUUCACGCACGACCUCAGGGAGAAGGAGCUCUCCACGGUGGACAUCUCCGACAUGUCCAUCGAGGCGUGCCAGGCCUUCGUGGGCUGCGUCUACGGUGUCGCCAUGUCCGAGGAGGAGCUGCUCGUGCACCGGAGCGAGCUCGUCGUCGCCAGCGACAAAUACGGCGUCGAGAACCUGAAGAAGGUGUGCGAGGAGAGCAUGAUUGUGGACGUCAGCACGGAGAACUUGCUCGAGAGGCUGCAGAUGGCUCACACCUACAGCCUGCCGGCGCUCAAGAGGACCUGUGUGAGGCUUCUCGUGGAUUUGGGAGGAUGUACGAGAUUCCCAAUGAUUUCGAGGAGUUCAUGA
RNAcentral lists this ribosomal RNA (903 nucleotides) under Triticum aestivum (bread wheat). RNAcentral's name for it is "partial small subunit ribosomal RNA". Lineage: Eukaryota; Viridiplantae; Streptophyta; Magnoliopsida; Poales; Poaceae. The record is from RNAcentral.